AGUCAAUAGAUACCCUGGUAGUCCACGCCGUAAACGAUGAGUACUAGGUGUAGGAGGUAUCGACUCCUUCUGUGCCGCAGUUAACACAAUAAGUACUCCGCCUGGGAAGUACGGUCGCAAGAUUAAAACUCAAAGGAAUUGACGGGGGCCCGCACAAGCAGCGGAGCAUGUGGUUUAAUUCGAAGCAACGCGAAGAACCUUACCUAGACUUGACAUCUCCUGAAUAGUGUAGAGAUACAUGAAGCCCUUCGGGGCAGGAAGACAGGUGGUGCAUGGUUGUCGUCAGCUCGUGUCGCGAGAU
This 301-nucleotide ribosomal RNA is filed under the name uncultured bacterium. RNAcentral's name for it is "bacterial SSU rRNA". It matches the Rfam family "Bacterial small subunit ribosomal RNA", at positions 774 to 1073 of the family's 1533-position model. The record is from RNAcentral.